CCUACGGGAGGCAGCAGUGAGGAAUAUUGGUCAAUGGGCGUAAGCCUGAACCAGCCAAGUCGCGUGAGGGAUGAAGGUUCUAUGAAUCGUAAACCUCUUUUAUAAGGGAAUAAAGUGUGGGACGCGUCCUAUUUUGUAUGUAUCUUAUGAAUAAGGAUCGGCUAACUCCGUGCCAGCAGCCGCGGUAAUACGGAGGAUACGAGCGUUAUCCGGAUUUAUUGGGUUUAAGGGGUGCGUAGGCGGCCUUAUAAGUCAGCGGUGAAAGUCUGUGGCUCAACCAUAGAAUUGCCGUUGAUACUGGGGGGCUAGAGUAUGUUUGAGGUAGGCGGAAUGCGUGGUGUAGCGGUGAAAUGCUUAGAUAUCACGCAGAACCCCGAUUGCGAAGGCAGCCUGCCAAGCCAUUACUGACGCUGAUGCACGAAAGCGUGGGGAUCAAACAGGAUUAGAUACCCCUGUAGUC
Molecule: ribosomal RNA, 460 nt
Filed under: uncultured bacterium
Lineage: Bacteria
Description: partial 16S ribosomal RNA
Rfam family: Bacterial small subunit ribosomal RNA
Source: RNAcentral